RNAcentral lists this ribosomal RNA (465 nucleotides) under uncultured bacterium. RNAcentral's name for it is "partial 16S ribosomal RNA". It matches the Rfam family "Bacterial small subunit ribosomal RNA", at positions 338 to 795 of the family's 1533-position model. The record is from RNAcentral.
CCUACGGGUGGCAGCAGUGGGGAAUAUUGCGCAAUGGGCGAAAGCCUGACGCAGCGACGCCGCGUGAGGGAAGAAGGCCUUCGGAUCGUAAAACUCUGUCAGCAGGGAAGAACGGUCACUGUGCUAUUCAGCCGUGAAUUGGCGGUACCUGCAAAGGAAGCACCGGCUAACUCCGUGCCAGCAGCCGCGGUAAUACGGAGGGUGCGAGCGUUAAUCGGAAUUACUGGGCGUAAAGCGCUCGCAGGCGGUAUGUCAAGUCAAGGGUGAAAUCCCCGCGCUCAACGUGGGAACUGCCUUUGAAACUGGCAAACUAGAGUGUGUGAGAGGAUGGUGGAAUUCCAGGUGUAGGGGUGAAAUGCGUAGAGAUCUGGAGGAACAUCAGUGGCGAAGGCGGCUAUCUGGCACAUAACUGACGCUGAGGAGCGAAAGCGUGGGUAGCAAACAGGAUUAGAUACCCGAGUAGUC